CAGUCGCCGCGGUAAUACAGAGGGUGCGAGCGUUAAUCGGAUUUACUGGGCGUAAAGCGUGCGUAGGCGGCUUCUUAAGUUGGAUGUGAAAUCCCUGAGCUUAACUUAGGAAUUGCAUUCGAUACUGGGAAGCUAGAGUAUGGGAGAGGAUGGUAGAAUUCCAGGUGUAGCGGUGAAAUGCGUAGAGAUCUGGAGGAAUACCGAUGGCGAAGGCAGCCAUCUGGCCUAAUACUGACGCUGAGGUACGAAAGCAUGGGGAGCAAACAGGAUUAGAUACCCGCGUAGUCCCUGUCUCUUAUAA
This 301-nucleotide ribosomal RNA is filed under the name uncultured bacterium. Its description in RNAcentral is "partial 16S ribosomal RNA". It matches the Rfam family "Bacterial small subunit ribosomal RNA", at positions 509 to 809 of the family's 1533-position model. The record is from RNAcentral.